GGUGAUGCCCGGGACCCGACCCGACCUCACCGUUCUCUUGCUUCCCCACUGCUCCAGGACGCGGGUGAAGCCGGGAGCCUGGGCUGGCGCCUGUGGUCUCCAGUUUUCCACUGAGCCCAUCGCCCGUGGGAGGAGCGUCGGCUUCGCCACCUCUCAGGAAUGACCCGUGUCAGAGAGACCGUUUGUACCGAAGGACAUCGGAAAAAGCUGCGACUCUUUCCCCGCUACACGUCCGCGUGAGGCUAUAUUGUCUUCAUUCUCUUCACCCCAAACAAGGCAGCACAGCAUGCUAAGGCAGAAUCAGCACCAAUACCCAUGGAUCCAUCUUACAACUACAGAAUCAGUAAACUCAACCCACCCAGAGUGCUGUGCAAGACAGAAGACCUGCCAUGAAAAACUGGGAAGUACUGGUAUUCUUAAUAUACUGUCAUUUUCUCCCCAAAAUAAAUCCAGUGUUCUGAAAUGUUUUUAACAUUUAAAAAUAAUAUAAAAUGUCUCUGCAGAGUACUUCACUCUUCAACAAUUUAGCACUUAGUCUUCCAACAUAGGUGGAGACUGACUGGUUUUAAAGUGCUUUAAGAAUAAGAACCACUCUCCUUUGGGCCAGCUAGGAAGUAAACAUAAACAGGUGUUGGUAUUUCUGAGACAAGGUCUCUAUGUAUUGACUUCAGGCCUCCCUACUGUUGGAAUUAUGGGUAUGUGCUACCAUGCAUGGCCAACAACUUUUUUUGGUACCAGGGAUCAAA
Fukomys damarensis (Damara mole-rat) is the source of this 746-nucleotide long non-coding RNA. RefSeq lists it as uncharacterized. The transcript is spliced from 4 exons. Lineage: Eukaryota; Metazoa; Chordata; Mammalia; Rodentia; Bathyergidae. The record is from RefSeq and is a predicted model, not a curated record.